ACCUGGGAACUGGAGAGAAGCAAAGCCAGAUCUAGAGUAAGGCUGUUUGGAGGAAGAUCAACAGAGCUAUGGACCUACAAGUGUCAGACAAGUACCAGCAGCAGUGACAGCUAUCCUGCCAGGAUUGUGUGCAAGAACAAAAGGCUGGGAAUUUCUAGCACAUGCAUUUGGUAUGUCAGACACUGCCUGGAGUGCUGUAAACCCUCAGUGUAGGCUUUGAAUUUGUGUGUGUUGGCCAUUAGUAAAGACAUUUCUGGUGAACUCCUCUGCUCACAGGGGCCUUGUGUCACUCAUGUCCCCAUGCAGGCUGACCAAACUGGCUUUAUGCAUAUGCUGCAUCAGGUUAUAUCUCUGCUGAAAGUCAUGCCAAGGAAAAAUAAAUAAGAGGGAAAAAAUCUUUCUGAAAUCAAGAAUAUCCUGACUCAGUUCUGGACAGAUGACUUCCUAGAAUUCCCCUGAGACCUUCUUCUCUGCCUGCUCCUGUGUGUGAACCAAAUCUUGGGAGGGUGUGGUGUUCAUAGCCAAGGGCUAGGAAAACAGCCAUUCAGUAGGAAGGAAGGCAAAAAACAUAAGGGAUAAUUGAGAAAAUAUGGUGGGUAUAUGGUAAUGAAAGAUCCCCAUUUUGAUGUCUGAUAUAAGGCUUACAAAACUAUCCAUAAGACUACAAAACUAUCCCAAAAUUUUAAGGAGCCACUUGCACCAUCUCGGAUCACAGCAGGAAACAUGGCAGGAGACAGCUUUCCACGUUGGCUCAGGAGUAAUUCUUUAGGUGUAGAGCAUUUGUGGGAUGAGCUCUCCCCGAGAAGACACUGAGAUACAAAUCCAAGCCCAAAGAACAGAAGAAACAAAACCUAAUCUUGCCAGAAAAUCCUGCUAUAUGACGUUGCUAGCAGAGGCUGAGGACAGCAAGUUGACCUUCUGCGUAACCUACGUCCGUGCUCAAGCUCAAUGGAUCACUCAAUCACUGCCACUCUCUCACUCACUACUAAAUCUCACUACAACCAGUUCAAC
Molecule: non-coding RNA, 1011 nt
Organism: Zonotrichia albicollis (white-throated sparrow)
Lineage: Eukaryota; Metazoa; Chordata; Aves; Passeriformes; Passerellidae
Source: RefSeq, a predicted model, not a curated record